This 515-nucleotide ribosomal RNA is filed under the name uncultured bacterium. RNAcentral's name for it is "bacterial SSU rRNA". It matches the Rfam family "Bacterial small subunit ribosomal RNA", at positions 993 to 1509 of the family's 1533-position model. The record is from RNAcentral.
GAACUUUCCAGAGAUGGAUUGGUGCCUUCGGGAACUCUGAGACAGGUGCUGCAUGGCUGUCGUCAGCUCGUGUUGUGAAAUGUUGGGUUAAGUCCCGCAACGAGCGCAACCCUUAUCCUUGUUGCCAGCGGUUAGGCCGGGAACUCAAAGGAGACUGCCAGUGAUAAACUGGAGGAAGGUGGGGAUGACGUCAAGUCAUCAUGGCCCUUACGAGUAGGGCUACACACGUGCUACAAUGGCGCAUACAAAGAGAAGCGACCUCGCGAGAGCAAGCGGACCUCAUAAAGUGCGUCGUAGUCCGGAUUGGAGUCUGCAACUCGACUCCAUGAAGUCGGAAUCGCUAGUAAUCGUGGAUCAGAAUGCCACGGUGAAUACGUUCCCGGGCCUUGUACACACCGCCCGUCACACCAUGGGAGUGGGUUGCAAAAGAAGUAGGUAGCUUAACCUUCGGGAGGGCGCUUACCACUUUGUGAUUCAUGACUGGGGUGAAGUCGUAACAAGGUAGGCGUAGUGCU